UAAAUAUCUAAAUAACGUAUUUUAUUUGCCAAACAAUUUAUUUGUCAACAUUAGAAAGUACCCUGUGCUCACCGAAUGUUACGCCUAUGGUGUCGUAGUAUAAUAUGUGUCGUUAGAGGCGCUACAGUCAACCUUGAUGGUAUGGCGCAAGGUAAUUUGAACAUUCCCUGUGUUGAUUACAAUCAACAAACAGUAGUUAGAGCACAGCAAAUGUUUGAAGAGAAUUGUUUAGAAGAAUUUUUUGUCUUUAACGUGGUAGCCCACAAAUGUCCAGGGCAGACACCGUGUCGUUGGAUCGUGUCCUAUAAAUUUAGAGACCCAAAUCGCCAAUAUGAAGGGGGGCUGUUUGCCAAACAAAUCGUGAGAAGGUUUGAUGCCAGAAAACCUCGAGGAACAAAUCUUAUGAAGCCAGCGAUUAGCCUCAAGAUAUGUGCUAAUGAUGGCCCUUGCUAUGUUUUAAUAUACGGCGUUCUUUGUGAAUGCGAACAAAUUCAAAUGCCUUAUUUUGGCGUUGAUGACGACGGUCCGGUUUACAUUGAUGCAAUUAAUGUUGGGACAUAGAGAACAUAUAUAUUUUUUAGUAACAUUUUUAAAAUUUCCAUCUUGUACUGUUUAGUUGAUUUAUUUAUAUUAAAGUUUACCAUAUACUUGA
This is an RNA transcript of Tribolium castaneum (red flour beetle), 652 nucleotides long. RefSeq lists it as hypothetical. The transcript is spliced from 2 exons. The record is from RefSeq and is a predicted model, not a curated record. Lineage: Eukaryota; Metazoa; Arthropoda; Insecta; Coleoptera; Tenebrionidae.